UAGGGAAUAUUGCGCAAUGGGCGAAAGCCUGACGCAGCGACGCCGCGUGGGUGAUGAAGCUCCUUGGAGUGUAAAACCCUGUCAGCGGGGAAGAACCGCAUACGGAGUAACUGCCGUAUGCCUGACGGUACCUGCAGAGGAAGCUCCGGCCAACUCCGUGCCAGCAGCCGCGGUAAUACGGGGGGAGCGAGCGUUGUUCGGAUUUACUGGGCGUAAAGGGCGCGUAGGUGGGUCAUCAAGUCAAAUGUGACAACCAGCGGCUCAACCGUUGGCCUGCAUGUGAGACUUUUGAUCUUGAGUACGGGGGAGGAAAGCGGAAUUCCUGGUGUAGCGGUGAAAUGCGUAGAUAUCAGGAGGAACACCGGUGGCGAAGGCGGCUUUCUGGCCCGAUACUGACACUGAGGCGCGAAGGCCGGGGGAGCAAACA
Molecule: ribosomal RNA, 427 nt
Filed under: uncultured prokaryote
Description: bacterial SSU rRNA
Rfam family: Bacterial small subunit ribosomal RNA
Source: RNAcentral